CGGGGCGUAGCGCAGCUGGCUAGCGCACUUGCUUGGGGUGCAAGGGGUCGGCGGUUCAAAUCCGCCCGUCCCGACCA
RNAcentral lists this transfer RNA (77 nucleotides) under Candidatus Omnitrophota bacterium. RNAcentral describes it as "tRNA-Pro". It matches the Rfam family "tRNA". From Rfam's summary of the family: Transfer RNA (tRNA) molecules are approximately 80 nucleotides in length. Their secondary structure includes four short double-helical elements and three loops (D, anti-codon, and T loops). Lineage: Bacteria; Pseudomonadati; Candidatus Omnitrophota. The record is from RNAcentral.